UCCCUGGUAGCUCAGAUGGUAAAGCAUCUACCUGCAAUGCAGGAGACCCGGGUUCGAUCCCUGGGUCGGGAA
RNAcentral lists this transfer RNA (72 nucleotides) under Bos taurus (domestic cattle). It matches the Rfam family "tRNA". Rfam says of the family: Transfer RNA (tRNA) molecules are approximately 80 nucleotides in length. RNAcentral also lists the same sequence under 2 other names. The record is from Rfam by way of RNAcentral. Lineage: Eukaryota; Metazoa; Chordata; Mammalia; Artiodactyla; Bovidae.